This 776-nucleotide ribosomal RNA is filed under the name uncultured Neocallimastigales. RNAcentral describes it as "partial large subunit ribosomal RNA". It matches the Rfam family "Eukaryotic large subunit ribosomal RNA", at positions 23 to 643 of the family's 3401-position model. The record is from RNAcentral. Lineage: Eukaryota; Fungi; Neocallimastigomycota; Neocallimastigomycetes; Neocallimastigales.
AGAGAGAGACAUGCGCGCAUAUCAAUAAGCGGAGGAAAAGAAACUAACUAGGAUUCCCUCAGUAACGGCGAGUGAAGCGGGAAGAGCUCAAAUUUGAAAUCUUCAAGGUUCUACCUUGACGAAUUGUAGUUUAAAGAAGUGUUUUCUGUUGGAGUUUUGGUAAAAGUCCUUUGGAAUAGGACAUCAUAGAGGGUGAGAAUCCCGUAUUUGACCAUUAUUUCCAGCUUUGUGAUGCACUUUCAAAGAGUCGGAUUGUUUGGGAAUGCAGUCCAAAAUGGGUGGUAAAUUUCAUCUAAAGCUAAAUAUUGGCGAGAGACCGAUAGCGAACAAGUACCGUGAGGGAAAGAUGAAAAGAACUUUGAAAAGAGAGUUAAACAGUACGUGAAAUUGUCAAAAGGGAAGCGUUUGACACCAGUGUUGUUUUCUCGAAAAUCAAUUAAAAAGAGUUAGAUUUUGUUGUGUAUUGACCUUAUCAGCUUCUGCAUUUCAUUUUCUUGUCUUUUUUUAAUGCACUUUUCGUUUAACAAGUCAACAUCAAUUUCUUUUGUUGUAAAAGGGUCAUUGGAAGGUGGCUUUCUUUUCGGAGAAAGUGUUUAUAGCCUUUGGCCUCUGCAAUCGGAGAGAUUGAGGUCUGCAGCGUAGAUCCUUCGGGGUUAGAUACAUUUGUGCUAAGUUAUAGCCUUUCAUAGACAACUUGUUGACUAUGAUCAGUCAUGUAGCUUACUCGCUUAUGCUAUUUUACCUACGCUUAGGAUGUUGAUGUGAUACUGCGAGCA